This 473-nucleotide ribosomal RNA is filed under the name uncultured organism. RNAcentral describes it as "partial 16S ribosomal RNA". It matches the Rfam family "Bacterial small subunit ribosomal RNA", at positions 332 to 797 of the family's 1533-position model. The record is from RNAcentral.
UACACUCCUACGGGAGGCAGCAGUGGGGAAUUUUGGACAAUGGGCGAAAGCCUGAUCCAGCAAUGCCGCGUGCAGGAUGAAGGCCUUCGGGUUGUAAACUGCUUUUGUACGGAACGAAAAAGCUCCUUCUAAUACAGGGGGCCCAUGACGGUACCGUAAGAAUAAGCACCGGCUAACUACGUGCCAGCAGCCGCGGUAAUACGUAGGGUGCGAGCGUUAAUCGGAAUUACUGGGCGUAAAGCGUGCGCAGGCGGUUAUGUAAGACAGAUGUGAAAUCCCCGGGCUCAACCUGGGAACUGCAUUUGUGACUGCAUGGCUAGAGUACGGUAGAGGGGGAUGGAAUUCCGCGUGUAGCAGUGAAAUGCGUAGAUAUGCGGAGGAACACCGAUGGCGAAGGCAAUCCCCUGGACCUGUACUGACGCUCAUGCACGAAAGCGUGGGGAGCAAACAGGAUUAGAUACCCCUGUAGUCCC